GUGGGGAAUAUUGCACAAUGGGGGAAACCCUGAUGCAGCAACGCCGCGUGAGUGAUGACGGCCUUCGGGUUGUAAAGCUCUGUCUUCAGGGACGAUAAUGACGGUACCUGAGGAGGAAGCCACGGCUAACUACGUGCCAGCAGCCGCGGUAAUACGUAGGUGGCAAGCGUUGUCCGGAUUUACUGGGCGUAAAGGGAGCGUAGGUGGAUAUUUAAGUGGGAUGUGAAAUCCCCGGGCUUAACCUGGGUGCUGCAUUUCAAACUGGAAGUCUAGAGUGCAGGAGAGGAGAGUGGAAUUCCUAGUGUAGCGGUGAAAUGCGUAGAGAUUAGGAAGAACACCAGUGGCGAAGGCGACCCCCUGGACAAAGACUGACGCUCAGGUGCGAAAGCGUGGGGAGCAAACAGGAUUAGAUACCCGAGUAGUCC
RNAcentral lists this ribosomal RNA (425 nucleotides) under uncultured bacterium. RNAcentral describes it as "partial 16S ribosomal RNA". It matches the Rfam family "Bacterial small subunit ribosomal RNA", at positions 354 to 796 of the family's 1533-position model. The record is from RNAcentral.